This 253-nucleotide ribosomal RNA is filed under the name uncultured bacterium. Its description in RNAcentral is "partial 16S ribosomal RNA". It matches the Rfam family "Bacterial small subunit ribosomal RNA", at positions 524 to 776 of the family's 1533-position model. The record is from RNAcentral.
UACGUAGGCAGCAAGCGUUGUUCGGAGUUACUGGGCGUAAAGAGUGCGUAGGUGGUGCCCUAAGUCUGUUGUGAAAUCUCCCGGCUUAACUGGGAGGGUGCGGUGGAAACUGGGGUGCUUGAGUGUGGGAGAGGUAAGCGGAAUUCCUGGUGUAGCGGUGGAAUGCGCAGAUAUCAGGAGGAACACCGGUGGCGAAGGCGGCAUCCUGGACCAAGACUGACACUGAAAAGCGAAAGCCAGGGGAGCAAACGGG